GAUGAACGCUGGCGGCGUGCCUAAUACAUGCAAGUCGAACGGAACCAAGGGAGCUUGCUCCCUGAAGUUUAGUGGCGGACGGGUGAGUAACGCGUGAGCAACCUGGCCUUCGGAGAGGGACAACAGUUGGAAACGACUGCUAAUACCGCAUGACAUACUUUUGUGGCAUCAUGAGAGUAUCAAAGAUUUAUCGCCGAAGGAUGGGCUCGCGUCUGAUUAGUUAGUUGGUGGGGUAACGGCCUACCAAGACGACGAUCAGUAGCCGGACUGAGAGGUUGACCGGCCACAUUGGGACUGAGAUACGGCCCAGACUCCUACGGGAGGCAGCAGUAGGGAAUAUUGGGCAAUGGGCGCAAGCCUGACCCAGCAACGCCGCGUGAAGGAAGAAGGCAUUCGUGUUGUAAACUUCUUUGACGGGGGACGAUAAUGACGGUACCCCGAAAACAAGCCACGGCUAACUACGUGCCAGCAGCCGCGGUAAUACGUAGGUGGCAAGCGUUAUCCGGAUUUACUGGGUGUAAAGGGCGUGUAGGCGGGCUAUUAAAGUCUGACGUGAAAUCUAGGGGCUUAACCCCUAAACUGCGUUGGAAACUGAUGGUCUUGAGUAAUGGAGAGGCAGGCGGAAUUCCUAGUGUAGCGGUGAAAUGCGUAGAUAUUAGGAGGAACACCAGUGGCGAAGGCGGCCUGCUGGACAUAAACUGACGCUGAGGCGCGAAAGCGUGGGGAGCAAACAGGAUUAGAUACCCUGGUAGUCCACGCUGUAAACGAUGAAUACUAGGUGUGGGAGGACUUGACCCCUUUCCGUGCCGGAGCAAACGCAAUAAGUAUUCCACCUGGGAGUACGGUCGCAAGGUUAAAACUCAAAGGAAUUGACGGGGGCCCGCACAAGCAGUGGAUUAUGUGGUUUAAUUCGAAGCAACGCGAAGAACCUUACCGGGGCUUGACAUGGGGAUGAAUUACAUAGAGAUAUGUAAGUCUUCGGACAUCUCACACAGGUGGUGCAUGGUUGUCGUCAGCUCGUGUCGUGAGAUGUUGGGUUAAGUCCCGCAACGAGCGCAACCCCUAUUGUUAGUUGCUACGCGAGAGCACUCUAGCGAGACUGCCGUUGAUAAAACGGAGGAAGGUGGGGACGACGUCAAAUCAUCAUGCCCCUUAUGUCCCGGGCUACACACGUAAUACAAUGGCGCUGAACAAAGGGAAGCGAGACCGCGAGGUGGAGCAAAUCCCCAAAAGGCGUCUCAGUUCGGAUCGCAGGCUGCAACCCGCCUGCGUGAAGUCGGAAUUGCUAGUAAUCGCGGAUCAGCAAGCCGCGGUGAAUACGUUCCCGGGCCUUGUACACACCGCCCGUCACACCAUGAGAGUCGGGAACACCCGAAGCCUGUGAGCCAACCGCAAGGAGGCAGCAGUCGAAG
RNAcentral lists this ribosomal RNA (1412 nucleotides) under uncultured bacterium. Its description in RNAcentral is "bacterial SSU rRNA". It matches the Rfam family "Bacterial small subunit ribosomal RNA". The record is from RNAcentral.